UUUUGCGCAAUGGGGGAAACCCUGACGCAGCAACGCCGCGUGAGCGAAGAAGGCCCUCGGGUCGUAAAGCUCUGUCAAGUGGGAAAAAUACCCAUCGGUCAAUAGCCGGUGGGCUUGAUGGUACCACUGGAGGAAGCACCGGCUAACUCCGUGCCAGCAGCCGCGGUAAUACGGAGGGUGCAAGCGUUGUUCGGAAUUACUGGGCGUAAAGGGCGUGCAGGCGGUUUGGUAAGUCAGGCGUGAAAGCCCUGGGCUUAACCCAGGAAGUGCGUUUGAAACUGCCUUUCUUGAGUAUGGGAGAGGAGAGUGGAAUUCCCAGUGUAGAGGUGAAAUUCGUAGAUAUUGGGAGGAACACCCGUGGCGAAGGCGACUCUCUGGACCAAUACUGACGCUGAGACGCGAAAGCGUGGGGAGCAAACAGGAUUAGAUACCCUGGUAGUCCACGCCGUAAACGAUGAGAACUAGGUGUAGCGGGUAUUGACCCCUGCUGUGCCGAAGUUAACGCAUUAAGUUCUCCGCCUGGGGAGUACGGCCGCAAGGCU
RNAcentral lists this ribosomal RNA (542 nucleotides) under bacterium Oil-MT3-10. RNAcentral describes it as "bacterial SSU rRNA". It matches the Rfam family "Bacterial small subunit ribosomal RNA", at positions 362 to 895 of the family's 1533-position model. The record is from RNAcentral.